UACGGAGGGUGCAAACGUUGCUCGGAAUCAUUGGGCGUAAAGCGCACGUAGGCGGUCGGCUAUGUCAGAUGUGAAAGCCUCGGGCUUAACCCGAGAAGGGCAUCCGAAACUGGCCGGCUUGAGUACGGAAGAGGGUCUCGGAAUUCCCGGUGUAGAGGUGAAAUUCGUAGAUAUCGGGAGGAACACCGAUGGCGAAGGCAGCCCCCUGGGCUAACACUGACGCUCAUGCACGAAAGCGUGGGGAGCAAACAGG
This 253-nucleotide ribosomal RNA is filed under the name uncultured bacterium. Its description in RNAcentral is "partial 16S ribosomal RNA". It matches the Rfam family "Bacterial small subunit ribosomal RNA", at positions 524 to 776 of the family's 1533-position model. The record is from RNAcentral.